UUUUAAAUUAAAUCUGUAAACCAACGGAAUUGUCGAUUCGAAUUUUUAAUCAUCAGUCUUCGGGAGACGAAUCUUUAAUUAAUUAAUGAUAAUUCUCUAAUGUGAAUCUCGAAAAUUGUAAUAGAAGUAUGGUUUAAGUUUCCAUGAUAUAUUGUAUCUCAAUAGGCUACGAACAGGCCAUGCGAACUCGCACACAAUUUUUAAGAUGGCGGCGCACACCGAUUUAGGCACUAUUUAUGGGUAUUUCAUCAUCAUUUUCGUCGUCUGUACCAGACACAGCAUUAUCUUACCAUUGAGCAUUGAAUUUGUGGAUUAUCUUUUAGCUGAUGGAGUUUUUCUUCCAAAUAGUGAAGACCAUAAAUUUCCAGAAAAUGAAGAUGAAUCUGAUAAUGAAGAAUGGGAUGAUGAUGAUGAUGAUGAUAAAGAUAAGGCACCACAUUUUCCUGAAUUUGAUCAAAAUG
This 461-nucleotide long non-coding RNA is filed under the name Androctonus crassicauda. Lineage: Eukaryota; Metazoa; Arthropoda; Arachnida; Scorpiones; Buthidae. The record is from RNAcentral.